Molecule: long non-coding RNA, 3074 nt
Filed under: Sus scrofa (pig)
Lineage: Eukaryota; Metazoa; Chordata; Mammalia; Artiodactyla; Suidae
Description: lncRNA (ENSSSCG00030041147.1)
Source: RNAcentral
UUCCAUCCCUAGCCUGGGAACUUUGGCAUGCCAUAGGAGUGGCCAAAAAAAAAAAAAAAAAAAAAAAGUCUUGAUGAAAUAUUAGAAUAGGAUAAGUAAAUACAGAUAAAAUAAUAGAAUAGAACAAAUAAAUAGAAUAAAGUAAAUAGAAGUAACACAUUCCGGUAGGCUAUUUAAAAACAUUAGGAUGUUUAUGAUUUCCUGGAAACUGAAAAACUAGACAAUGUCCAGAUGAAGGGUGUAAAUUAGAAAGAAGAAGGGUUUAGAAACCACAUCAAUGUAGGAAAAAAAGGUACGUUAGUUGUCACUUUCUCUGUUGGACUUUCUCAUAUAUCUAAGUAGAACUAUUCCUCCUUAUAGAUGCAUCAUUCUUUGUCCAUUUUUAUCUCCUAUAACACUGUAGAAGAGUAGGUUGUAAAUACAUUUUUCCGUGAUAGACUGUGAUGCCCCUGAGGCCAGUGGCUAAGUUUCAUUCUUCUUCAUUUCCCAGCACCUCUCUAAUAGCAAAUAUUAUUAAAUCACUUUUUUGACAUCCUUUGCUAACUGGUUAUAUUUUCUUGAAAUUUUCCAAUUCAAAUUUGCCAAGAGAAAUAAAUUUCUUGGCAGAAGUUAGAUAACAUUUCAAGGAUGGGAAUUUCUGAUUUGGAUGGUAGAUUGGAUUAGACUGUCUUGUUUCAACCAAAGGUUCCAUGAUUCACUGAUUCCUAUAAGGCAUGAUUGGUUUCACAGUUAGUAGGCAAAGAGUACAAUCUUAAGGCAUUGGGACCAAAAGAGGUCAAAGAUGUGGCUCUUAACUCAAAUUGCUUGUGGCUGUGGUGUAGGGCCAGCCCCUGUAGCUCCAAUUUGACCCCUGGGAACUUCCAUAUGCUGCAGGUACGGUCCUGAAAAACAAACAUACAGACAAACAGUUGAACUUGGAUUGUGUUGACUAGUUUCCUCUGGGUUAACAUGGUAUAAUUAUAGACAUUGGGAUGGUUGCUCCUGGGAUGUGUCCACAGGUUGAGAGAGGGAAUUUCCCAUCUCAGUUGUUGAAAUAGCCCAUUCAUUCUUUCAAUUAGCCUGGCAGCAGUAGGGUUGUAAGGCAGAUGGAAAAGCCAAUGUAUGUCAUUUUUAUCAACUGAUUCCUGGAAUUCAUGACCAAUUAAGUGGAUUCCUUGGUCAAUAUCAACAUCUAUGGGAGCCCUAUAGUCGCAAGGCUCUUCUAGACCCCAAAUAGUGGUUUUCUGAGUUGCUUGAUAACUUGGAUAGGCCUUUUAUAAUGUCUUCUACCUAUUGUAAUGUAUUGUAGACUGCAUAUAGCUGUUGUUCUAUCACAUUAGUAAAAGUUCUGAGGAUGACACACUAGAAGCAUGGAGAAAUUAGAGGUACACAGAAGUGUGGAAAACUAUAGUCCAGCCUUAAGCUAGUUCAGUGCCUGUUUGGAUUAAAGUUAUUGGUUACUCUUCAAUCUGCUUACCAGAGGAUAAGAUAAACUCUUUGUGGAAGGAUAUAGCAUCAAGAGCCUCUAAUACUUAUCAUAAACAAUGUCUGUCCCUUGGUAAAAUCUUACCAGUUACUCGAAAAGAACCAAGAGAAAAACUGACAAUAGAAACAGACCUGCAGAUGACUCAUUUUUUAGUACUAUUAGAAAUGAACUUUAACAUAUUAAUAAUAGUAUAAUUAAUAUAUUCAAGAUAAUAGGUGUCAAGAUGGAGAAUUUCACUAGAUACCUUCCAUUUAUUUUUAAAAUGAAAUAUAAGUUAAAGAAUGAAAAUGUAGUAGCAGAAAUUAAGAUCUUAAUAGAUGGGUUACUAUCAGAUCAGACAUAGAAGAAAAGUUGAUUAAUAAAUUGGAAGACCAAUUGCUAGAAAAAUCCAGGCUGAGGCCCAGAGAGCUAAAAGUAUAGAAAAUAGUUAAGAGCAUAAAGAUACAUGGGACAUGGUGAAAAGAAAUGAGAAAGAGAAAAUAAAAGAAAAAAUAUUUGAAGGGUUAAGAAUAAACAUUUUCCAAGACCGAUAAAAGAUGUUGGCCUCAAGAAGUCUCAUGAAACCCAAAGGGCACAUAUAGACAAACAAACAGAAAACCUCUCACCCAAGCUCAGAAUAUACAGUUUCUUAAAAAAUAAAAAGGAAAUCUAAAAAAACAGUCAGAGAUUUUAUAUGUAUAUAUGUAUGUGUAUAUAUUUAUAUUUAUUCUUAAAGUUUGUAUAUGGACAGUAAUAUAUAUUCAUAUUAAUUAUAUAUUAUCAUAUAAUACAUUUUAAUAACAUAAUUUAUAGUAGCAUAAAAUAGUUAUGUUAAAACUGAUAGGUUACUCCUUAACAAACAUGAUGAAAGUCAGAAGGCAUUGGGAAAACAUCUUUAAACUACUGAAAGAAAAAUGUCAACAUAUUUUAUGUUCAUUAAAAAUAUUCUUCAAAACUGAAGGUCAAAUAAAGAUGUCUCUGAACAAACAAAAAUUGAGGAAAUUCAUCACGAAGAAAACUACACUAUAAGAAAUGCCAAAGUGCAGAUGGAAAAUGAUCCCAGAAGGAAACAGAAAUACUGGAAGGAAUGAGGAGCAAAGUAAAGAUUAAAUAGGUGAGUAAAUAUAAGUGGAUAUUGAACAUACAAAACAAUAUAUAGAGUUAAAAAAUAUAUACAUGGAAUGAAAAUGCAUAAUAACAAUAGCAGAAAAGUCAGAAGGAGCAGGUGGAGUUAAAGUAUUCUAAAGUCCCUGUGCUGUCUGUGGAAGGCUGAACAUACCUACAUUAAGCUGUAUAAAUCAAGGCUAUAUGUUAGUAAAGAAUAUAUAACUAACCAGCUUAUAGUAGGAGAGGCAUAGACCACAAAGAUUGGAUUUAUCUAAAAUAACUCAAGAGAGAGUUUCUGUUGUGGCUCAGCAUGUUAAGGACCAGACAUUGUCUCUGCGAGGAUGUGGGUUUGAUCCCUGACCUCACUCAGUGGGUUAAGGAUUCAGAGUUGCUGUAGGUCACAGUUGUGCCUCAGAUCCAGUAUUGCCUUGGCUGUGGAGUAGAUCUCAACUACGGCUCUGAUUUGAACCCUAGCCUAGAGAACUUCCAUAUGCUGCAGCUGCAGCUGUAAAAAGAAAAAAAA